RNAcentral lists this ribosomal RNA (2925 nucleotides) under Escherichia coli. RNAcentral's name for it is "bacterial LSU rRNA". It matches the Rfam family "Bacterial large subunit ribosomal RNA". Lineage: Bacteria; Pseudomonadati; Pseudomonadota; Gammaproteobacteria; Enterobacterales; Enterobacteriaceae. The record is from RNAcentral.
GGGUUGUGAGGUUAAGCGACUAAGCGUACACGGUGGAUGCCCUGGCAGUCAGAGGCGAUGAAGGACGUGCUAAUCUGCGAUAAGCGUCGGUAAGGUGAUAUGAACCGUUAUAACCGGCGAUUUCCGAAUGGGGAAACCCAGUGUGUUUCGACACACUAUCAUUAACUGAAUCCAUAGGUUAAUGAGGCGAACCGGGGGAACUGAAACAUCUAAGUACCCCGAGGAAAAGAAAUCAACCGAGAUUCCCCCAGUAGCGGCGAGCGAACGGGGAGCAGCCCAGAGCCUGAAUCAGUGUGUGUGUUAGUGGAAGCGUCUGGAAAGGCGCGCGAUACAGGGUGACAGCCCCGUACACAAAAAUGCACAUGCUGUGAGCUCGAUGAGUAGGGCGGGACACGUGGUAUCCUGUCUGAAUAUGGGGGGACCAUCCUCCAAGGCUAAAUACUCCUGACUGACCGAUAGUGAACCAGUACCGUGAGGGAAAGGCGAAAAGAACCCCGGCGAGGGGAGUGAAAAAGAACCUGAAACCGUGUACGUACAAGCAGUGGGAGCACGCUUAGGCGUGUGACUGCGUACCUUUUGUAUAAUGGGUCAGCGACUUAUAUUCUGUAGCAAGGUUAACCGAAUAGGGGAGCCGAAGGGAAACCGAGUCUUAACUGGGCGUUAAGUUGCAGGGUAUAGACCCGAAACCCGGUGAUCUAGCCAUGGGCAGGUUGAAGGUUGGGUAACACUAACUGGAGGACCGAACCGACUAAUGUUGAAAAAUUAGCGGAUGACUUGUGGCUGGGGGUGAAAGGCCAAUCAAACCGGGAGAUAGCUGGUUCUCCCCGAAAGCUAUUUAGGUAGCGCCUCGUGAAUUCAUCUCCGGGGGUAGAGCACUGUUUCGGCAAGGGGGUCAUCCCGACUUACCAACCCGAUGCAAACUGCGAAUACCGGAGAAUGUUAUCACGGGAGACACACGGCGGGUGCUAACGUCCGUCGUGAAGAGGGAAACAACCCAGACCGCCAGCUAAGGUCCCAAAGUCAUGGUUAAGUGGGAAACGAUGUGGGAAGGCCCAGACAGCCAGGAUGUUGGCUUAGAAGCAGCCAUCAUUUAAAGAAAGCGUAAUAGCUCACUGGUCGAGUCGGCCUGCGCGGAAGAUGUAACGGGGCUAAACCAUGCACCGAAGCUGCGGCAGCGACGCUUAUGCGUUGUUGGGUAGGGGAGCGUUCUGUAAGCCUGCGAAGGUGUGCUGUGAGGCAUGCUGGAGGUAUCAGAAGUGCGAAUGCUGACAUAAGUAACGAUAAAGCGGGUGAAAAGCCCGCUCGCCGGAAGACCAAGGGUUCCUGUCCAACGUUAAUCGGGGCAGGGUGAGUCGACCCCUAAGGCGAGGCCGAAAGGCGUAGUCGAUGGGAAACAGGUUAAUAUUCCUGUACUUGGUGUUACUGCGAAGGGGGGACGGAGAAGGCUAUGUUGGCCGGGCGACGGUUGUCCCGGUUUAAGCGUGUAGGCUGGUUUUCCAGGCAAAUCCGGAAAAUCAAGGCUGAGGCGUGAUGACGAGGCACUACGGUGCUGAAGCAACAAAUGCCCUGCUUCCAGGAAAAGCCUCUAAGCAUCAGGUAACAUCAAAUCGUACCCCAAACCGACACAGGUGGUCAGGUAGAGAAUACCAAGGCGCUUGAGAGAACUCGGGUGAAGGAACUAGGCAAAAUGGUGCCGUAACUUCGGGAGAAGGCACGCUGAUACGUAGGUGAAGUCCCUCGCGGAUGGAGCUGAAAUCAGUCGAAGAUACCAGCUGGCUGCAACUGUUUAUUAAAAACACAGCACUGUGCAAACACGAAAGUGGACGUAUACGGUGUGACGCCUGCCCGGUGCCGGAAGGUUAAUUGAUGGGGUCAGCGCAAGCGAAGCUCUUGAUCGAAGCCCCGGUAAACGGCGGCCGUAACUAUAACGGUCCUAAGGUAGCGAAAUUCCUUGUCGGGUAAGUUCCGACCUGCACGAAUGGCGUAAUGAUGGCCAGGCUGUCUCCACCCGAGACUCAGUGAAAUUGAACUCGCUGUGAAGAUGCAGUGUACCCGCGGCAAGACGGAAAGACCCCGUGAACCUUUACUAUAGCUUGACACUGAACAUUGAGCCUUGAUGUGUAGGAUAGGUGGGAGGCUUUGAAGUGUGGACGCCAGUCUGCAUGGAGCCGACCUUGAAAUACCACCCUUUAAUGUUUGAUGUUCUAACGUUGACCCGUGAUCCGGGUUGCGGACAGUGUCUGGUGGGUAGUUUGACUGGGGCGGUCUCCUCCUAAAGAGUAACGGAGGAGCACGAAGGUUGGCUAAUCCUGGUCGGACAUCAGGAGGUUAGUGCAAUGGCAUAAGCCAGCUUGACUGCGAGCGUGACGGCGCGAGCAGGUGCGAAAGCAGGUCAUAGUGAUCCGGUGGUUCUGAAUGGAAGGGCCAUCGCUCAACGGAUAAAAGGUACUCCGGGGAUAACAGGCUGAUACCGCCCAAGAGUUCAUAUCGACGGCGGUGUUUGGCACCUCGAUGUCGGCUCAUCACAUCCUGGGGCUGAAGUAGGUCCCAAGGGUAUGGCUGUUCGCCAUUUAAAGUGGUACGCGAGCUGGGUUUAGAACGUCGUGAGACAGUUCGGUCCCUAUCUGCCGUGGGCGCUGGAGAACUGAGGGGGGCUGCUCCUAGUACGAGAGGACCGGAGUGGACGCAUCACUGGUGUUCGGGUUGUCAUGCCAAUGGCACUGCCCGGUAGCUAAAUGCGGAAGAGAUAAGUGCUGAAAGCAUCUAAGCACGAAACUUGCCCCGAGAUGAGUUCUCCCUGACCCUUUAAGGGUCCUGAAGGAACGUUGAAGACGACGACGUUGAUAGGCCGGGUGUGUAAGCGCAGCGAUGCGUUGAGCUAACCGGUACUAAUGAACCGUGAGGCUUAACCUUACAACGCCGAAG